RNAcentral lists this transfer RNA (67 nucleotides) under Acanthopleura loochooana. RNAcentral's name for it is "tRNA-Phe". Lineage: Eukaryota; Metazoa; Mollusca; Polyplacophora; Chitonida; Chitonidae. The record is from RNAcentral.
GGGUUUAUAGCUUAUGUUAAGAGCAUAGCAGUGAAGUUGCUAAGGAACUAAUUUUCAGUUAUUCCCA